Molecule: long non-coding RNA, 3830 nt
Organism: Homo sapiens (human)
Lineage: Eukaryota; Metazoa; Chordata; Mammalia; Primates; Hominidae
Product: long intergenic non-protein coding RNA 1102
Source: Ensembl
AUUGUGAGAAGUUUUUAUGCUGCUCUGGGUCAUGGCUUGGAGACUGCCUCCUCAGAGCUUAAAUGGGCAGAUUUCAUAUUCUUCCCAUCCUUGGGAAUACUUCAUAAAACAGAAUUACAAGAGUCCAUGUUUUUUUCGGAGCACCGUGCAGUGGGAGAGCCUGUCUUGCCUUUUUUUUUUUUUUUUUUUUUUGCUGUCGUUUUAUACAGGUAUUUUUUUUUCUUUCUAUUUCUUUUUUCUUUUACUUUUUAUUUCCUCUUUAAAGAAAAUGAUUGGCAGCACUCAACCUCAAGGAACUGAUCUAUCAAAACCAAGCUGGGAUAAGUAUUUCUUUGAGAAAUAAUAUAUAUUUACCAACAGGCUCUAUUCUGCCCCCUUGUUUCACAGCACCUUGAAUAUCACUUCCUUUUCCUGCCCAAAGCAGGAGGUAACCCUGUAUUAAAAGCAUAGUAGGUGUGUGUGUGUACAAUACACACAUACAGCACACAUGUCUCUAUUUAGAGAUUCCAUGAUAUGUGUUCUAUAUACACUUUACAGUCCCUUUUCUUAAUGUCAAAAAUAUAAUUUCCAGCGUCUAAAGAGUGUUUUCAAAGACUUUUGCCCUAUUUUUUAAAAUAGUGUCUAAAUAUGAUUAAGUGUCUUCCCAGAGAAAAGUCAAAGAGGCUCCUAGUGUUAAUUUCCAUAUUGCUUAAGACUUAAGCUUUUAAUUUAUUUUAUCAAGGUUGAGGGAGUAUAGUAAUUGUUGGAACAACGCCCUUCCAAAAGAAAUCGCCUGCACUUGUUUUUAAGUUCAAUUUGUUUUCUCACACAGAUUUUUGAUACACUCUUAAAUAAACUAGAAAUCACAAUUAUUUUAAUGUGGCAGAGUUGUAACCAGGAAAUUGCAUAUAUUUUCAUAAACUAGGCUGUUAUAGAUUUAUUAAUAUUUAUUAAUAACAUUAUUUUAAGAAAUUUUUUUAACGUCUUUCAACCCUGAAAGGGCCUGCUUGAAACAUACACGGCAGCAAAAUCACUGGAGUCCAGGGUUUUUGUCACACACACACACAGCACAGAUUUUUUUGAUUAUGUAGAUUUCUUUUCCUACUGCAGUUUCAUAUGCAAAGCAUGCAUCAGCCACAUCCAUGCUAUCUCCUAAAGCAGUCAUUCUGAAACCCAAUCUGGGGACAGUGCAGACUAAAUAAAAUUUCAUUUUGAUUUGGCCUCCCGCUGCGAAUGGGACUGCUUUGUCUCAGCCGACAGAACCAGCAAGCCAGAAAGGGAAUGAAGACAUUUGGAGAAGAAGCGUUUACUGAAAGGAGAUUCCUGGGCUGGAGGAAAACCAUGAUCUACAGUUCAUGUUGACAGAUAUUGUAUUUUUGGUCCUAGAUCUGACUUUUGAAAUGACUUAUCACAAAUUCAAAUUUAGCAAUCAUGAGUGAAGUACCCACGAUGUGCUAAGCAUCUACCUCUGCAGAUAGAAGAACACUUACUGUUCCUGAGCAUGGGAGGGAAUAGAAGUUCCUGGGUCCUGGCCUCACCUCAUCAGGCACUGCCAAAUUUGACACCUCCUUCCUGUUCACGGCAGUCCUUUGCGAUAGGGUAUUAGAUGCCACCAAGUAGCUGCAUAACUCACCCAUUUGGUCAGAGCCUGGGUCUAAGCCAGGUCUGACAGACUCCAAAGCAAGCCCUGUUUACAGCAUGACUGGGAUCCAGUGGGUAAGACCAACCUGUCAAUGCCCAAGUGCAGAUGCAAUAAUAGUGCUUCAACUGAUUGUUGCAAACCCCUCAUGAGGGAUGCCAAAUCCCAGUGCAGAUGGUAACACAGGCUAUUUUUCACCUCCAACCUCUAAUAUCCUUUCUUUCUUUCUUUCCUUUUUUUUUUUUUUUUUUUUUUUUUGAGAUAGAGUCUCCUCUGUCACCCAGGCUGGAGUGCAACAGCACGAUCCCAGCUCACUGCAACCUCCACCUCCUGAGUUCAAGCGUUUCUCUCGCCUCAGCCUCCCGAGUAGCUGGGAUUACAGGCACCCGCCAUCAUGUCCAGCUAAUUUUUGUAUAUUUGUAGAGACGGGGUUUCACCAUGUUGGCCAGACUGGUCUUGAACUCCUGACCUCAGGUGAUCUGCCCGCCUCAGCCUCCCAAAGUGCUAGGAUUACAAGUGUGAGCCACCACGCCCGGCCCCAAUAUUCUUUCUUACUAGACACUGUGUAAGCUAAUUAUUCAGCAAGUAUUUUGCACUGAACUCUAAAUAGGUAAGUAUUUUGUGUCCAUUUUACAGACAAGAGAAAUAAAAUAGGUAAAGUAUUUCCCCAAAGCUAUGAUAAAUGAAUCCCAUAGCUAGAAAUGGCAGAAAACCCAUGGAAACUUCUAUGGGGAGUGGAUGUCUGCCUUACCUUGGCACAAUGCUUGGUUCUCAGAUAUCAUUUCAGUGACAUUGCCAAAUGGGAGAAACCAUGUCUGGUACACGGGACUCAAGCUGCCUCAAAAUAUCCUGAAUGCAUUUUUUCAGGGGAGAAAAUCCAUUUGAAUAAGAAUAGCUAGUUAUAGCUUAUUAUGUGCCAGACACUAUUCAAAGUGUUUAAUGUGUAUUAACUUCUCAAAACCACUCUAUAAGUUAGGUACUAUGAUUUCCAUCUCCAUUUUACAGACGAGGGAACUGAGCUGUCAAAACUAAGUGACUUGAUUGAGGCCAUGCAGCUGGCGAGGGGAGGACCAGGAUCUGAACCCAACUGGGUCUCCCAAGCCUGGGCCACUGAACCAUUUCACCUCUUGGAAAAACUUAAUGGUCAGAGUGGCCCACCCAGUCCAUGGACAGCAUGGAGUGGUAUGGUGGAAGAGGAGGGAAGAAAACCUGUGUAUUGUAAGUCAUAUUCUUCUAUGGUGUGAAGGUUAACGUAAGUUUUAAGAAAGUUUUUUUUUUUAAUUUUAUUAUAUGAUCUUGCUCUAAAGGGAUGUAAAUUCAGAUGCUGAAUUGCACACAUCCUUUCUCUUUCAUAUUUUCAAUAUUGAACGUAAUUUCAAUAUUUAACAUAAAACAAUGAGUACAUUGUCUCCACCUCAUUGUUUUUGGGUGGUGUUUGUGAGGAGCCUGCGUUCUUUGGAAGGAAGACCUUUCAGAUGACCUGACCAGUCCUCCUCUUCAGAACCCGGAUGCUGGCGAAGCAGUUUGAAUUUUAUGCUUGUGAAAGGGCUCCGUUGAUGAUUUUGAUGUCUGCAGCUUUCCACCCGUAUGACCAGACACAUUCUCACCAGCUCCAUAUAUCAAGAUAAGGAGGGGAAACCUGGUAGCUUUUCCUUCUGUUAACUGCUGGCAUCAGCUGAGUGAUGCAGACAUUUCUCUAUUAAGAACUGAGCUGAGACUGAAGCUUCAUUUUGUAUGAGACUGUGCAGAGGUCGUCUAAAGUCUCUCCCAGGUGUGGUUAUUAAGAUCCUGGAUUUGAAACUGUGACCUACUGGUUUGCCAGAUGCCAAGAACAAAUGCUCUGAAAUUGAUUUGCCAAAAGACAUGAUGAGCUGCUCUAACUUGCCUGGGAAGAGUGGAAUAUUUAACCUGUGGGUGAGACUCCCUCUUGCUACCUAUCAGCUUUGCCACUGCUCUGAUAGAGAAACAUCUUGGGAGCAGAGUUGGUAAGAGUGAAUCAGACGUAUCUGCCGGAAUAGGACUCGUGGCACCUGCUUGUUCGAUCCCUCAUUUCCACCCCCUCUAUCCUUUGCCUAUUGUCAGUCAUUGUGGUUGGUCCAUUCAGAAGAAUCGUGAAUAUUCAUAGCCACCCUAAUUUACCAAUAUAUAUUCAAUAAUGUCAGAGAUCUGUACAUGUGAUUCCUGAGCUUAUUACAGUAACAAGUUUCUCCAA